AAUACCGCAUAACACCAUUUGGAGACAUCUCCAGGUGGUCAAAGGAGGCGACUCCGGCAUAGGAUGGCCAUGCGUCGCAUUAGCUAGUCGGCGGGGUAACGGCCCACCGAGGCGACGAUGCGUAGGGGUUCUGAGAGGAAGGUCCCCCACACUGGUACUGAGACACGGACCAGACUCCUACGGGAGGCAGCAGUGAGGAAUAUUGGUCAAUGGGCGCAAGCCUGAACCAGCCAAGUCGCGUGAGGGAAGACGGUCCUAUGGAUUGUAAACCUCUUUUGUCGGGGAGCAAAGCGCGGUACGAGUACCGCGAAGGAGAGUACCCGAAGAAAAAGCAUCGGCUAACUCCGUGCCAGCAGCCGCGGUAAUACGGAGGAUGCGAGCGUUAUCCGGAUUUAUUGGGUUUAAAGGGUGCGUAGGCGGAUUUGUAAGUCAGCGGUAAAAAUGCGGUGCUCAACGCCGUAUCGCCGUUGAAACUGCAGGUCUUGAGUGAGCGAGAAGUAUGCGGAAUGCGUGGUGUAGCGGUGAAAUGCAUAGAUAUCACGCAGAACUCCGAUUGUGAAGGCAGCAUACCGGCGCUCAACUGACGCUGAGGCACGAAAGCGUGGGGAUCGAACAGGAUUAGAUACCCUGGUAGUCCACGCAGUAAACGAUGAAUACUAACUGUCCGGUCCGCUUAAGGGCUGGGUGGUACAGC
Molecule: ribosomal RNA, 694 nt
Filed under: uncultured bacterium
Lineage: Bacteria
Description: bacterial SSU rRNA
Rfam family: Bacterial small subunit ribosomal RNA
Source: RNAcentral